This 409-nucleotide ribosomal RNA is filed under the name Paenibacillus helianthi. Its description in RNAcentral is "bacterial LSU rRNA". It matches the Rfam family "Bacterial large subunit ribosomal RNA", at positions 1 to 400 of the family's 2925-position model. The record is from RNAcentral. Lineage: Bacteria; Bacillati; Bacillota; Bacilli; Caryophanales; Paenibacillaceae.
AUGGUUAAGCUAAUAAGAGCACACGGAGGAUGCCUAGGCGCCAGGAGCCGACGAAGGACGUGGCGAACAACGAAACUGCCUCGGGGAGCUGUAAGCAAGCUUUGAUCCGGGGGUGUCCGAAUGGGGAAACCCAGCUGUGGUAAUUCGCAGUUACUCAUACCUGAAUACAUAGGGUGUGUAGAGGCAGACCAGGGGAACUGAAACAUCUAAGUACCCUGAGGAAGAGAAAACAAUAGUGAUUCCGUCAGUAGCGGCGAGCGAACGCGGAACAGCCUAAACCAAGGGGCUUGCCCCUUGGGGUUGUGGGACGUCUCACAUGGAGUUACAAAGGAAUAUAGUAGGUGAAGAGGUCUGGAAAGGCCCGCGAUAGAGGUAAAAGCCCUGUAACCUAAACUGUGUUCUCUCCGAG